GUUUCGGGGUUUAGGGUUUAGAGUUGAUGUUUCAUGGUUUAGGGUUUAUAGUUGAUGAUUUAGGGUUUAAAGUUGAUGAUUUAAGAUUUAAAAUUGAUGUUUUAAGUUUAGAUUUAGGGUUUAGGGUUUACGUUUAGGGUUUAGAGUUGAUGUUUUAAGUUUAGAUUAGUUAACAAUAUGCUCUUUUUUUCAAAGGUAAUGAGAAGGUUAUAAAUGUAUUUUACCCUUCAUUAAAGAUGAGGGUAAAAGUGGUUAGUUUAAACAUGAAAAGUGGUAUUUUGAAAAUAGUAUUUUUUGCAAUUUCUCCUAAGGUUUGGAUUAGUUAACCCUAUGAGUAUAAAUGUAUAUUUACCUCUUUAAUGGAAUAUUUUAGUCAUUUUGAUCCUUAGAGUCUAUAUUUGUGACCAAAACUUUUUUAGUGCUAUCCUAGGGUAUUUUUCUUUUGAUUAGGAUUGUAUUAAGUUCCACAACAUAAAAACAUUAAAUUUAAAAAUAAAUUUAAUAUUAAGACAACAAAUAACUUUAAUAAUGAUAAAAUAUAAUAUAUCUACCUCAUUAAACUAUUUUGUAACUAUUAGAUCAAACAAUGUUUAUUUUUAAA
RNAcentral lists this long non-coding RNA (601 nucleotides) under Brassica napus (rape). Its description in RNAcentral is "long non-coding RNA (BNAP_LNC026652)". The record is from RNAcentral. Lineage: Eukaryota; Viridiplantae; Streptophyta; Magnoliopsida; Brassicales; Brassicaceae.